AACGAACGCUGGCGGCAUGCCUAACACAUGCAAGUCGAACGGGAUCCUAGCUUGCUAGGUGAGAGUGGCGGACGGGUGAGUAACACGUGGGAAUCUGCCUUUUGGUUCGGGAUAACCGCGGGAAACUGCGGCUAAUACCGAAUGCCCUCGAGAGAGGAAAGAUUUAUCGCCAGAAGAGGAGCCCGCGUCCGAUUAGGGUAGUUGGUGGGGUAAAGGCCUACCAAGCCGACGAUCGGUAGCUGGUCUGAGAGGAUGAUCAGCCACACUGGGACUGGAGAUACGGCCCAGACUCCUACGGGA
RNAcentral lists this ribosomal RNA (300 nucleotides) under uncultured bacterium. RNAcentral's name for it is "bacterial SSU rRNA". It matches the Rfam family "Bacterial small subunit ribosomal RNA", at positions 29 to 346 of the family's 1533-position model. The record is from RNAcentral.